RNAcentral lists this long non-coding RNA (952 nucleotides) under Piliocolobus tephrosceles (Ugandan red Colobus). RNAcentral's name for it is "lncRNA (ENSPTEG00000009110.1)". The record is from RNAcentral. Lineage: Eukaryota; Metazoa; Chordata; Mammalia; Primates; Cercopithecidae.
CCCACCCAGCAGGCAGCUCCGCCUACCUUGGCUAUCCCCCUCUGAGUUCUUGACUUGAUUCUCCUGUUAUUGUCCUGCAAACCCACAUCCCUACAAAGCGGGAAAGUGUGCCUGGGAGAGGCCAUGUGAGUGGCGAGCCAGCCCAAAGCCAGGCGUCCAGGGUCUCCCUCACCUGAAGCUGACUUUUUCCCCAUCUUGGACAGAGGGCGGGAGAUGCCAUCCCCACUGAACCCAGUGCUUUCACCAGCCAUAUUAGCUCCCACCCACCCCCGCCGUGGAAGCCUCGGCUGUCACACCUGCAGGGCCGGGGCGUGCAUGGCCUCAGGGAUGGCCUGUUCAGCUGCUGAGUGACUCGGGUCCGGUGCCUCACCACCUGCUGAGCUCUGUGUGCUUUCUGGGCACUUCUGCUCAUUGCCUUUGGGCUCAGUGAAGAGUCUGGAGUUUAUGUGGAGUGAGGUGGUCGGGUCUUGGUGAGAUCUGAGCAGGACAGCAUCUGGCUCCUUCCCUUGGCUCAUGGCCCUCAGGGUCUGCGUCACACACACCCCAGCUCUCCCGACGGGUCUCUGCACUCGCUGUUGCCUCCGCCUGGAAGUCUUCCUCCUGGUGUCAUCGUCUCCGUGGUGCAUCCUUCCUGAUGUUCCACCUCCACCAGGUGCCGACACUUCCCUGACGCUGGUAUCCUCUUCUCGCGGGGAGAAAUCAGAAUCUAAGGAGUCAGAAUGUAAGGUUCCUGUUGGAACCCAGGCUCCAGGGUCCCUGGUUUUCUGUGACAUCAUGCUGCAAGACCCUGUUUCUCUCUUUGCUUUGGCUGCUGGGUAGCUCAGAAGGGAGCUCUAGGCUUACCCUCAGCCACCACAUUAGCUCAGGGGUUUGGGCAUUUUUGUCGCUGGCUCCUUUGGGCUCUUUGUCCUCCCUGCUGUGCUUCCCGAGGAACAGGCCGGAUGUAAGUUAU